UUCUGCGAUAAUUUUAAAGAUCGAAACAGAAAUUGUGUGUGUUUCAAUAAGCCAAUGGUUGAAUUUCAUUGUUGAUGACAUACAAGAAAAAAUUCAUGAAGAUUUCCUAGAAUAAAGUUUUGAGGUGUAGAAUUUUUGGCAACUGCAAACAGAGUCUAGCACCCAGAAAAUAUUUAUUCGCAGUGAGUCGCCCAGGAAAUUUAGAGGACUGUUAUACUCAUUCGACGCCACUUUUCGACCAAUCAAAAUCCAAGAAAUUUCCAUUUUGGGCUACAAUGAUGGUUUUUCACCUCGUAGCUUCCAUAGAAAUAUCUUAUGGUAGUGUUAGUCUCAAAAACACGCAAAUUUUCACAGGUUUUUUGUUUGUAUCCAUUCAGUACCUUCCAGAUCAACAGUCAAGAGUUUUUUUUAUUGCUUAGAUAUUUGACUUUAUGGCACAUAAGGGAUUUAAAGGAAGAGUAUUCAAGGAUAAAGGCAAAUUAAGACCAUACAUAAUAAAAAUCAAUCUUUAUAACCAUCCUUUUGUUUCUCUGCUUGUAUAAUAUGGCAACCUCAUGGAUUUUCUCUGGGUCCUCCUGCUUCCUCUCACUGCUAAAUGUUAGUCCAGAAAUUACAUAUUUUGUGUCGAGUUGAUUUUAAAUACAAUUCCUCUUUCUCUUUAUGGCCAUCCAAAGUUCCUGUUACUUUCUACUGAUUUCAUGUUGCCAUCUGGUUUUUCUCUAACACCUGAAUGAUUUUUCAUCUGUAUAUUUUUUAACAGGUGUAAACCAGCUGUAGAUAUUCUAACCGUUUCUAGGUAAACCAGCUGUAGAUACAGAUAUAUUCUAACCAUUUGUAUAUUUUGUAACAGCUAACCCAGCUGUAGAUAUAUUUUAAGAAAGGGUUUAGAAGAUUUAAAUAAAAUGUGUGAACAUGUUUUACAGACAUUUGAAAACAGUGUAUCUGAGUUUAAAGAAUUGCAACCAGAAGAUGUAGAAAUGUCUGAUCAAUGAUGUUACUAUAAGAAGUUUAUAUUGUCUUAGUGAUAUAUAAUGUAUAUAUGGCUGCAGGUCUUAUACACAGGUUAUCCAUAAUAGAUGAAAGACAUUGAAUUAUUUGCAACUGGAAAGUUACCGUGACUUUUGGAUAUGGAUGGAAGCUAGGUUAUUUAAUAUUAUAGGUGGGGAGUCAGAAGAUGGUAUUUGGGUUGCGCAAAAUUACGCAUAGAGGUUAAGAACAAAAAUGCAUCACAGUAAUGUCUGUCGAAGAAUAUAAGUGUGGAAUUCUUUACCAACAAUGGUUUUAUAUUUUGUUCAUGUGCAUCUGCAAGGAAUAUAUUUUGUUCAUCUGUAAGGAAAAUAUUUUACAUCUUAAAUUCAUAUACAUGUAUCCUUAAAAUCUCUGAUUUUCAUUUCAGUGAUUUUAAAUCCCUUGUAAAAUACAAUAUUGUGAAAGUUGGAUAUAUAAAAGGAAUAUCAAUCUGUCCAGUACUUAAAAAGCAGGGGUGUAUAUUUUUCCACAAUGUACCUUCUUUUCCUCAAUAUAUACUUUCUGUUCUUCCUCACAACGCUGCCCCAGUGACCCACACUUUUAGCAUCAUUUUGGCAUAUAUCUGGGGUGCAUGUAACUGAGGUCACGAAUCAAAAUGACAAUGAUGUUGCUCUGUUCAUUGAACUUUUUCAACUUAUUGAGGGUAAAUCGUACGCUGAAGCACUUUGUAAGAGGGUUGGCACUAUUAAAAUUGAAGAAUUUGUUGUUUAUUUUUCAGAGUUAAUAAAGUGAUUUUUUCUU
Long non-coding RNA from Patella vulgata (common limpet), 1770 nucleotides. RefSeq lists it as uncharacterized. The transcript has 3 exons. NCBI's taxonomy places the organism in Eukaryota, Metazoa, Mollusca, Gastropoda, Patellidae. The record is from RefSeq and is a predicted model, not a curated record.